RNAcentral lists this long non-coding RNA (543 nucleotides) under Olea europaea subsp. europaea. Lineage: Eukaryota; Viridiplantae; Streptophyta; Magnoliopsida; Lamiales; Oleaceae. The record is from RNAcentral.
UAAUAGAUCGCUGAUGUUCCUCUUGGGAAAUGAGAGCAAACACUUCAUUUAUUGAUGGAAUAGGAUCCAUCAUCAGUAUUUGUGCUCUAACUUGGGCAAAUGAAUCAUUUAAUCCCAUCAAAAAAGACAUCACAUACUCUGUAUGGUAAUGAUCAACCAAUUUCUUUGUACCUCCACAAUUACAUUUUCCACAAGAACAAGCUGGCCGAUAAUUGCUGAGUUCCUCCCAAAUCGUUUUCAAUUUUGUGAAGUAAACACCUACUGAUGAUUGACCUUGAGUGAGAUUCAUAAGCUCUCUUCUUAGUUGAAAUAUGCGCGGGCCAUUUCUUUGCUAGUAUCUCUCCUUGAGGUCUUCCCAGACUUAUUGUGUAGAUUCGACAUAGAUUACACUUGCUGAGAUCUCCUUAUAAAUAGAGUUAAGGAUCUAUGAAAUAACCAUAUUGUUAUUUCAGUUCUAGAUUCAACUCAAGAUUUUCAGGUUUUGCUAUGGGUCCAUCAAUAAAUCCCAUCUUAUUUUUCACUGAUAGAGCAAUUGUCAUAGAU